RNAcentral lists this ribosomal RNA (221 nucleotides) under uncultured bacterium. RNAcentral's name for it is "partial 16S ribosomal RNA". It matches the Rfam family "Bacterial small subunit ribosomal RNA", at positions 524 to 744 of the family's 1533-position model. The record is from RNAcentral.
UACGUAGGGUGCAAGCGUUAAUCGGAAUUACUGGGCGUAAAGCGUGCGCAGGCGGUGAUGUAAGACAGGUGUGAAAUCCCCGGGCUUAACCUGGGAACUGCAUUUGUGACUGCAUCGCUGGAGUGCGGCAGAGGGGGAUGGAAUUCCGCGUGUAGCAGUGAAAUGCGUAGAUAUGCGGAGGAACACCGAUGGCGAAGGCAAUCCCCUGGGCCUGCACUGAC